This 406-nucleotide unclassified non-coding RNA is filed under the name soil metagenome. RNAcentral's name for it is "partial contains 5.8S ribosomal RNA, internal transcribed spacer 2, and large subunit ribosomal RNA". The stretch from base 1 to 121 matches the Rfam family "5.8S ribosomal RNA", at positions 35 to 154 of the family's 154-position model. The record is from RNAcentral.
GAUGAAGAACGUAGUGAAAUGCGAUAAGUAAUGUGAAUUGCAGAAUUCAGUGAAUCAUCGAAUCUUUGAACGCACCUUGCGCCCUUUGGCCAUUCCGAAGGGCAUGCCUGUUUGAGUAUCAUGAACACCUCAACUCUUCAUGGUUUUCCAUGAUGAGCUUGGACUUUGGGGGUCUUGCUGGCCUGUGGGUCGGCUCCUCUCAAAUGAAUCAGCUUGCCGGUUUUUGGUGGGCAUCACAGGUGUGAUAACUAUCUACGCUUGUGGUUUUCCACCAGGGUAACCUUCAGCAGUGGAGGUUCACUGGAGCUUACAAAUGUCUCUCCUCUGUGAGGACAGCCCUUUGAAUGUUUGAUCUCAACUCAGGUAGGACUACCCGCUGAACUUAAGUAUAUCAAUAAGCGGAGGA